Molecule: ribosomal RNA, 406 nt
Filed under: uncultured bacterium
Lineage: Bacteria
Description: partial 16S ribosomal RNA
Rfam family: Bacterial small subunit ribosomal RNA
Source: RNAcentral
AUUGAACGCUGGCGGCAGGCCAAACACAUGCAAGUCGAACGGGUGGGGUACGGGUGAGAACUGUCGGGGAAACGGCCGGAGGGAGGGGGAUAACUACUGGAACCGUAACCUAAACCCGCAAACCAUAAGCGGUACCCAGAUGGGAUUAGCUAGUUGGUGGGGUAACGGCUCACCAAGCCGCCGAUCCCUAGCUGGGCUGAGAGGAUGACCAGCCACACUGGAACUGAGACACGGUCCAGACUCCUACGGGAGGCAGCAGUGGGGAAUAUUGCACAAUGGGCGCAAGCCUGAUGCAGCCAUGCCGCGUGUAUGAAGAAGGCCUUCGGGUUGUAAAGUACUUUCAGCGGGGAGGCGUUACCCGCAGAAGAAGCACCGGCUAACUCCGUGCCAGCAGCCGCGGUAAUAC